CACGGGGAGGUAGUGACGAAAAAUAACGAUACGGGACUCAUCCGAGGCCCCGUAAUCGGAAUGAGUAAACUCUAAAUCCUUUUCCAAGGACCCAUUGGAGGGCAAGUCUGGUGCCAGCAGCCGCGGUAAUUCCAGCUCCAAUAGCGUAUAUUAAAGUUGUUGCGGUUAAAAAGCUCGUAGUCGAAUCUGUGUCCCGCGCCGCUGGUUCAUCGCUCGCGGUGUUCAACUGGCGUGUCUCGCGGGACGUCCUGCCGGUGGGCUUUUCGAAUUGGUGCCUAUAUGGUAUCAUUCGUGGCCCAACUCGUAUCCGUUUUGCGCGGGUGCGAAUCCCAUCGCGGUGCUCUUUAUUGAGUGUCGAGGUGGGCCGGCACGUUUACUUUGAACAAAUUAGAGUGCUUAAAGCAGGCCAAUUUUGCCUGAAUAUUGUGUGCAUGGAAUAAUGGAAUAGGACCUCGGUUCUAUUUUGUUGGUUUUCGGAACCCCGAGGUAAUGAUUAAUAGGAACGGAUGGGGGCAUUCGUAUUGCGACGUUAGAGGUGAAAUUCUUGGAUCGUCGCAAGACGGACAGAAGCGAAAGCAUUUGCCAAAAACGUUUUCAUUGAUCAAGAACGAAAGUUAGAGGUUCGAAGGCGAUCAGAUACCGCCCUAGUUCUAACCAUAAACGAUGCCAGCUAGCGAUCCGCCGACGUUCCUCCGAUGACUCGGCGGGCAGCUUCCGGGAAACCAAAGCUUUUGGGUUCCGGGGGAAGUAUGGUUGCAAAGCUGAAACUUAAAGGAAUUGACGGAAGGGCACCACCAGGAGUGGAGCCUGCGGCUUAAUUUGACUCAACACGGGAAACCUCACCAGGCCC
RNAcentral lists this ribosomal RNA (850 nucleotides) under Oxypoda opaca. RNAcentral describes it as "SSU rRNA". It matches the Rfam family "Eukaryotic small subunit ribosomal RNA", at positions 455 to 1225 of the family's 1831-position model. Lineage: Eukaryota; Metazoa; Arthropoda; Insecta; Coleoptera; Staphylinidae. The record is from RNAcentral.